GUCAAAAUAGGAAAAAAAUACUUAGCCCAUAUGAUAUAGAAACAAAAGAACAAUGCCCACAGCAAGGAAAAAUCCAUUGUGAAUUGUGCAGUUGUUCAGCUGUAAUGUUAGGAAGUUAUUGCAGAUUGUGUAAGAGAAUGCAUACUUUUUCUGAAAGUCUUGACUUGUACAAUGAAUGACUUUAAAAUUUCUUUAACAUUUUCUGGUGUUCAUGAGACAGAUAUUAUUUAAACCAGUAAAAGGCUACACCUAAAAGAGACUGAACUUCAGCAAAGUCUUAAACUCAGCAGAUGAAUUGAUCUCUUCUCCAAAGAAUGACUCAGAGGUGUCCUGAUCGUUUUAAAGGCUGAAGUUUCAAAAUUUCCAUUUCGUAUGCCUCAAUCCCAUGGGUGCUCAAGAGCUGAAACACCCACGGGAAAGUAUGUAAGAAUACAAUUACUGAAACAGCUUCAGGGCAGAAACUGCAUGUUUUCCCCUCUCCAUGAUAAAUGACAGAAUCAUGCAAAACAGAGGUUCAUAAUGCAGUGACCAGCUUACAGCUGUGGUUUAUGUACAACUGACCAUCCACUUUUUCAGCGGCCUUUAGGCAGGUGACAUAUCUUUUAUUCACAACAUUACAGUUCAAAGUUUGAUUUGGAGGACUUUGUAUUUAAUCCUUUAUUAGAAAAUGAACAACCCACAAAGCACUGCAAAUUAUUUCAGCCAUGUAUAGUAUGUUUUAAUAUAAAAUGUUUUUUGCAAUUAUUAAAAAAAAAUUAUCUAGCAAUUGUGAAAAAGAAGGACAGCAAAAUUGAUAAACUGUUGUGAGACUGAUUUAAUUACAUCAUUAAGCUGUGUUGCUGGGCUGUCAUUCACGUUACCAUGGUUACACUGACUUCUCUAAUUGAUGGCCCUUUCUUCAGGAUUGUGGAUAAUGUAGUACUUCACCGGGAAUUCGGCCAAAACCACAAUGAUUCAUGGCUUGUACAAGAACCGUAUACCAUCACUUAAAGAUCUCAGAGGUUAUUGUAGGCUUGUUGUUCCACCGUUCACCGUUCUGCCACUAAGAGACUGCCCUGCCCAGAGGGCCUGCUCAGUGUCGCCAGAUAGAGCAAUCAGCAGAGACAGAGAGAGUAAUGAGGGGGAAGAAGAGAGAGGGUACAUACCCACUUUACCGCCAGCCUUCCUCUCUCACACUCCCAGACACAUCCUCUGCUCAGAGGCCGGCAGGAAGGGAAGGGAGGAAGGGAGAGAGCGCAAGAGGGACGGAGGGAAAGCGGCCACUCCGCCCUCCAAAUGAUCCAGAUGCUGCUAGUUGUAGAGCAAACAUGAGAGGAAUCUAAGUUCAGAGGCCCCUUAAUGAAUGUGUUUAUUUG
Megalobrama amblycephala (Wuchang bream) is the source of this 1355-nucleotide long non-coding RNA. RefSeq lists it as uncharacterized. Lineage: Eukaryota; Metazoa; Chordata; Actinopteri; Cypriniformes; Xenocyprididae. The record is from RefSeq and is a predicted model, not a curated record. The transcript is spliced from 3 exons.